Alnus glutinosa is the source of this 1110-nucleotide long non-coding RNA. RefSeq lists it as uncharacterized. NCBI's taxonomy places the organism in Eukaryota, Viridiplantae, Streptophyta, Magnoliopsida, Fagales, Betulaceae. The transcript is spliced from 3 exons. The record is from RefSeq and is a predicted model, not a curated record.
AGAGAGAGAGAGAGAGAGAGAGAGUUUUAUGAACGAAGGCCACAGAAAAGGGGUGUGUGGAAUGAAGUUUGAUCCAAGAUAAAAUAUACUUGCUUUUCAAUUUUUUACAUUUGGUAAAUCAUAUUUGUCUGGUGGGGGGAGAGAGGGAGAGUGUGUAUAAAGAGCACUUAAGUGCUUGCAGCCUUCUUGAGACACAGAGAGAGUUUCCGAAGGAGGAAAGGUAGGUGUUUGGAAUGAAGUUUGAUCCGAAAUCAUUUUCCCUCCAUUGAAUAAUUAAUAUAUACUAGAUGCAAGAGAGAUCAGUAUGAACACUUGAGAACUUGCAGCUUUCUUGGUCUGAUUGUUGAAUGAGGAGAGAGAGAGAGAGAGAGAGAGAGAGAGAGAGAGUUGUUGAAGAAGGAAAUUCUAAUUUAUUUUGGAAAGCCCUUUUCAUAUUUGAUAUACCAAUUAAUUUCAUGUUCAUGGGCUGAUCUCGGACCAGGCUUCAUUCCUCACACCAAGCUUUUCCUCGUAGAAUAUGUAAGAAGAAGCUCAAGGAAUAACACAUCCCUAAUAUAUAUGUCAUGAAACAUUGGUACCACAAUGCUCAUGCUUCUUAACGAGAAAGGACAAAAGGAGUUGGUAAUUGCGGCUCAAGUUACACAGGGAGGCAGGUACUAUAUAUAUUGGAGGGUCACGUACUGCUCAUAUUUCUUAUAACCAGUACCGUGAGGGAUAACAAGGAUAUCGAAAGAAGGGGACUUUCGGAGGAAGAAGGUGGCGAAGAGUCAAAUGAAGAAGUUUAGGAUAUAUUUUCCUAUAAGGCUACAGUUGUGCCAUGAUCAGAUGCACGAUCUGCUCCUUCAUUUGCUGUUACUUAAAUUGCUAUUCAGCUUCCAUCUGUGAUUGCACUAUCUCUUAUUGGAUUAGAUUUCUUUCUCCAAUUGUCUCCUAGCUAGAAUCCAUCUCCUGGCCUCCAUCUUGCUCUCAGCCUCCUUGUAUUUCUGUAUUGCCACUCCAACUUGGGCUGAGCUCGCUCACUUUGGUGGAUGAUGAUGUAAAUAAGGAUGUGGUAGACUUCACACAAUGUUAAUAACCGCUAGACAAGGAUCCUCUCUGUCUAACAUGAAA